Paenibacillus sp. 32O-W is the source of this 368-nucleotide non-coding RNA. It matches the Rfam family "transfer-messenger RNA". From Rfam's summary of the family: Bacterial tmRNA, also known as 10Sa RNA or SsrA, is named for its dual tRNA and mRNA-like properties. Its role is to liberate the mRNA from a stalled ribosome. The record is from Rfam. NCBI's taxonomy places the organism in Bacteria, Bacillati, Bacillota, Bacilli, Caryophanales, Paenibacillaceae.
GGGGGCGUUUUUGGAUUCGACGGGGAUAGUUCGAGCAUGGGUAGCGGGUAGUAGGGCCGCGGCUGCUUCAACAACGCGGAAGCCAAAUUUAAACGGCAAACAACAACAACAACCUCUGGCUCUGGCCGCCUAAUAACGGCCUCCAGGCUCUUACCCUCCAUCGCCCAUGUGGCGGGCUAAGGGCUCAACUUUAGUGGGAUACGCUGUCCAGUCUCCGCCUGGGGCUGGCUGAAGAAGACAAUCAGGCUGACCCGAAAAGCAGCCGGUGACGGGGCGGCUUUAGGGUGACAUCAAAACUGUCACUACACCCGUAGAAGCCUGUGUGGCGUUAUCUUCGGACAGGGGUUCGACUCCCCUCGCCUCCACCA